GUCUACCAUGCAGUCGACGGUAACAGCAGAGCUUGCUCUGGCUGACGAGUGGCGCACGGGUGAGUAAUAUAUAGUUAAUGUGCCCCAAAGACUAGGAUAGCCACUGGAAACGGUGAUUAAUACUGGAUAAGCCUCUAUUACAAAAGUAAGCGAGGAAAACGUUUUUUCGCUUUGGGAUCAGACUAUAUCCUAUCAGGUAGUUGGUGAGGUAAGAGCUCACCAAGCCAAUGACGGGUAGCGGGUUUGAGAGGAUGAUCCGCCACACUGGUACUGAGACACGGACCAGACUCCUACGGGAGGCAGCAGUGAGGAAUAUUGCACAAUGGGGGGAACCCUGAUGCAGCAACGCCGCGUGGAGGAUGACGCAUUUCGGUGUGUAAACUCCUUUUAUAUGUCAAGAAAAUGACGGUAGCAUAUGAAUAAGCACCGGCUAACUCCGUGCCAGCAGCCGCGGUAAUACGGAGGGUGCAAGCGUUACUCGGAAUCACUGGGCGUAAAGGACGCGUAGGCGGGUUGGAAAGUCUGAUGUGAAAUCCUACAGCUUAACUGUAGAACUGCAUUGGAAACUUCCAACCUAGAGUAUGGGAGGGGGAGAUGGAAUUAGUGGUGUAGGGGGUAAAAUCCGUAGAUAUCACUAGGAAUACCGAAAGCGAAGGCGAUCUGCUGGAACAUAACUGACGCUAAGGCGUGAAAGCG
This 696-nucleotide ribosomal RNA is filed under the name uncultured bacterium. RNAcentral's name for it is "bacterial SSU rRNA". It matches the Rfam family "Bacterial small subunit ribosomal RNA", at positions 46 to 761 of the family's 1533-position model. The record is from RNAcentral.